RNAcentral lists this unclassified non-coding RNA (676 nucleotides) under Hevea brasiliensis (rubber tree). The record is from RNAcentral. Lineage: Eukaryota; Viridiplantae; Streptophyta; Magnoliopsida; Malpighiales; Euphorbiaceae.
CAAGAGAAUCAGCCCAGAACAAAAUACCUCCCCUGUAAAAAGGAAAGCCCAUGCCCAUAACAGAAGCAAUGUCAAGGUCUGAAGCUUUAACGGCAAUUCCUUCUGCAAAGACUCGGCAGGCUUCAUUCACUACCGGGAAGAAUGUCAUCUCCACAAUGUCUUUCUCAGGUAACUUUGCAAACUUGGGGUCAAUGGCAACACCAGAAAUACUUCUUGCCUUCUCGAUGAAUUUCCUUAAUUCGGGAUCUGGGCUAGCUUUGCGCUUAUCGCCGUACAAAUAGAACCCUUUGCGAGUAGUUUCCCCUGCUCUCUUGUCCUCUUGCAGCAGUGGGAUGAGCAUUGAUUUAUAAGUUCGCUCAGGGAAAUUCUCAAUAAAUUGCAUGCCAGUUGCAAUUGCCACACCAAAACCAACCAGAUCACACAACCGGAAUGGACCCAUUGGCAUUCCAAAUUUAGUGAUUGCCCUAUCAAUCUGAUAAGGAUCCACCCCGUGUUCAACUAGCAAAAUGGCAGCUUGUGUAUAGGGGAAAAACAUCCUGUUGACAGCAAAUCCUGUGCAAUUCCCGACCACAACAGGAGUCUUCUUUAUUUUCUUUCCAACAUCUAGUAAAUCCACAAUUACUUGAGGAGACGUUUGGUUCGUACGAACAAUUUCCAAGAGUGGCAUGACAUGAGC